This 274-nucleotide ribosomal RNA is filed under the name uncultured bacterium. RNAcentral's name for it is "partial 16S ribosomal RNA". It matches the Rfam family "Bacterial small subunit ribosomal RNA", at positions 523 to 796 of the family's 1533-position model. The record is from RNAcentral.
AUACGUAGGUGGCAAGCGUUAUCCGGAAUUACUGGGCGUAAAGCGCACGCAGGCGGCCAGUCAAGUCUGACGUGAAAGCUCCUGGCUUAACUGGGAGAGGUCGUUGGAAACUGAUUGGCUUGAGGCAAUGAGAGGGACACGGAAUUCCCGGUGUAGUGGUGGAAUGCGUAGAUAUCGGGAGGAACACCAGUGGCGAAAGCGGUGUCCUGGCAUUGACCUGACGCUCAUGUGCGAAAGCGUGGGGAGCGAACGGGAUUAGAAACCCCAGUAGUCC